This is a small nuclear RNA of Heterocephalus glaber (naked mole-rat), 107 nucleotides long. Lineage: Eukaryota; Metazoa; Chordata; Mammalia; Rodentia; Bathyergidae. The record is from Ensembl.
GUGUUCGCUUUGGCAGCACAUGUACUAAAACUGGAACAAUGAAGAGAAGAUUAGUAUGGCCCCUGUGCAAGGAGGACACAGAAAUGCAUGAUGAGUUCCAUAUUAAA